Molecule: ribosomal RNA, 352 nt
Filed under: uncultured bacterium
Lineage: Bacteria
Description: bacterial SSU rRNA
Rfam family: Bacterial small subunit ribosomal RNA
Source: RNAcentral
GUAGGGGGCAAGCGUUAUCCGGAUUUACUGGGUGUAAAGGGAGCGCAGGCGGUGCGGCAAGUCUNAUGUGAAAGCCCGGGGCUCAACCCCGGGACUGCAUUGGAAACUGUCGUACUUGAGUAUCGGAGAGGUAAGUGGAAUUCCUAGUGUAGCGGUGAAAUGCGUAGAUAUUAGGAGGAACACCAGUGGCGAAGGCGGCUUANUGGACNAUAACUGACGCUGAGGCUCGAAAGCGUGGGGAGCAAACAGGAUUAGAUACCCUGGUAGUCCGCACGGUAAACGAUGGAUGCCCGCUGUUGGUCUGAAUAGGUCAGUGGCCAAGCGAAAGCNNUAAGCCUUCCACCUGGGGAGU